UACGGAGGGAGCUAGCGUUGUUCGGAAUUACUGGGCGUAAAGGGCGCGUAGGCGGCCGAUCAAGUCAGAUGUGAAAGUCCUGGGCUUAACCUGGGGACUGCAUUUGAUACUGAUUGGCUUGAAUGCAGGAGAGGAUAGCGGAAUUCCCAGUGUAGAGGUGAAAUUCGUAGAUAUUGGGAAGAACACCGGUGGCGAAGGCGGCUAUCUGGACUGUGAUUGACGCUGAGGCGCGAAAGCGUGGGGAGCAAACAGG
This 253-nucleotide ribosomal RNA is filed under the name uncultured bacterium. Its description in RNAcentral is "partial 16S ribosomal RNA". It matches the Rfam family "Bacterial small subunit ribosomal RNA", at positions 524 to 776 of the family's 1533-position model. The record is from RNAcentral.